GACGAACGCUGGCGGCGUGCUUAACACAUGCAAGUCGAACGGAAAGGCCCUGCUUUUGUGGGGUGCUCGAGUGGCGAACGGGUGAGUAACACGUGAGUAACCUGCCCUUGACUUUGGGAUAACUUCAGGAAACUGGGGCUAAUACCGGAUAGGAGCUCCUGCUGCAUGGUGGGGGUUGGAAAGUUUCGGCGGUUGGGGAUGGACUCGCGGCUUAUCAGCUUGUUGGUGAGGUAGUGGCUUACCAAGGCUUUGACGGGUAGCCGGCCUGAGAGGGUGACCGGCCACAUUGGGACUGAGAUACGGCCCAGACUCCUACGGGAGGCAGCAGUGGGGAAUAUUGCACAAUGGGCGGAAGCCUGAUGCAGCAACGCCGCGUGCGGGAUGACGGCCUUCGGGUUGUAAACCGCUUUCGCCUGUGACGAAGCGUGAGUGACGGUAAUGGGUAAAGAAGCAACGGCUAACUACGUG
This 468-nucleotide ribosomal RNA is filed under the name uncultured bacterium. RNAcentral describes it as "partial 16S ribosomal RNA". It matches the Rfam family "Bacterial small subunit ribosomal RNA", at positions 28 to 507 of the family's 1533-position model. The record is from RNAcentral.